Molecule: ribosomal RNA, 741 nt
Filed under: uncultured prokaryote
Description: bacterial SSU rRNA
Rfam family: Bacterial small subunit ribosomal RNA
Source: RNAcentral
GAUGAACGCUGACAGAAUGCUUAACACAUGCAAGUCGAUUCGAUUUACCUUCGGGUAUUGAGGAUGGCGGACGGGUGAGUAACGCGUAAGGAACUUGCCUCUUGGUCUGGGACAACUGUUGGAAACGACAGCUAAUACCGGAUAUUAUGAGAUUCUCGCAUGGGAAACUUAUGAAAGCUAUAUGCGCCAAGAGAGAGCCUUGCGUUCCAUUAGCUAGUUGGUGGGGUAACGGCCCACCAAGGCGACGAUGGAUAGCCGGCCUGAGAGGGUGAACGGCCACAAGGGGACUGAGACACGGCCCUUACUCCUACGGGAGGCAGCAGUGGGGAAUAUUGGACAAUGGGCCACAAGCCUGAUCCAGCAAUUCUGUGUGCACGAUGAAGGUCUUCGGAUUGUAAAGUGCUUUCAGUUGGGAAGAAGAAAGUGACGGUACCAACAGAAGAAGCGACGGCUAAAUACGUGCCAGCAGCCGCGGUAAUACGUAUGUCGCAAGCGUUAUCCGGAUUUAUUGGGCGUAAAGCGCGUCUAGGCGGAAAAAUAAGUCUGAUGUUAAAAUGCGGGGCUCAACUCCGUAUUGCGUUGGAAACUGUUUUUCUAGAGUACUGGAGAGGUGGGCGGAACUACAAGUGUAGAGGUGAAAUUCGUAGAUAUUUGUAGGAAUGCCGAUGGAGAAGUCAGCUCACUGGACAGAUACUGACGCUAAAGCGCGAAAGCNUGGGGAGCAAACAGGAUUAGAUACCC